RNAcentral lists this ribosomal RNA (371 nucleotides) under uncultured bacterium. RNAcentral's name for it is "bacterial SSU rRNA". It matches the Rfam family "Bacterial small subunit ribosomal RNA", at positions 29 to 398 of the family's 1533-position model. The record is from RNAcentral.
UACGAACGCUGGCGGCGUGCCUAACACAUGCAAGUCGAACGGGACCAGGGGGCAACUCUGGUUCAGUGGCGGACGGGUGCGUAACACGUGAGGAACAUGACUUUUGGUGGGGGAGUAGCCGGCCCAACGGCCGGGUAAUACCGCGUACGACCUUUUGGGGACAUCCCCGAUUGGUGAAAGCAGCAAUGCGCCGAAAGAGUGCCUCGCGGCCUAUCAGCUAGUUGGUGGGGUAAUGGCUCACCAAGGCGACGACGGGUAGCUGGUCUGAGAGGAUGGCCAGCCACAUUGGGACUGAGACACGGCCCAGACUCCUACGGGAGGCAGCAGUGGGGAAUAUUGCGCAAUGGGCGAAAGCCUGACGCAGCGACGCC